RNAcentral lists this ribosomal RNA (742 nucleotides) under Aspergillus niger. Its description in RNAcentral is "SSU rRNA". It matches the Rfam family "Eukaryotic small subunit ribosomal RNA", at positions 114 to 864 of the family's 1831-position model. The record is from RNAcentral. Lineage: Eukaryota; Fungi; Ascomycota; Eurotiomycetes; Eurotiales; Aspergillaceae.
CGUUUAUUUGAUAGUACCUUACUACAUGGAUACCUGUGGUAAUUCUAGAGCUAAUACAUGCUGAAAACCUCGACUUCGGAAGGGGUGUAUUUAUUAGAUAAAAAACCAAUGCCCUUCGGGGCUCCUUGGUGAAUCAUAAUAACUUAACGAAUCGCAUGGCCUUGCGCCGGCGAUGGUUCAUUCAAAUUUCUGCCCUAUCAACUUUCGAUGGUAGGAUAGUGGCCUACCAUGGUGGCAACGGGUAACGGGGAAUUAGGGUUCGAUUCCGGAGAGGGAGCCUGAGAAACGGCUACCACAUCCAAGGAAGGCAGCAGGCGCGCAAAUUACCCAAUCCCGACACGGGGAGGUAGUGACAAUAAAUACUGAUACGGGGCUCUUUUGGGUCUCGUAAUUGGAAUGAGUACAAUCUAAAUCCCUUAACGAGGAACAAUUGGAGGGCAAGUCUGGUGCCAGCAGCCGCGGUAAUUCCAGCUCCAAUAGCGUAUAUUAAAGUUGUUGCAGUUAAAAAGCUCGUAGUUGAACCUUGGGUCUGGCUGGCCGGUCCGCCUCACCGCGAGUACUGGUCCGGCUGGACCUUUCCUUCUGGGGAAUCUCAUGGCCUUCACUGGCUGUGGGGGGAACCAGGACUUUUACUGUGAAAAAAAUUAGAGUGUUCAAAGCAGGCCUUUGCUCGAAUACAUUAGCAUGGAAUAAUAGAAUAGGACGUGCGGUUCUAUUUUGUUGGUUUCUAAGGACCGCCGUA